RNAcentral lists this long non-coding RNA (12064 nucleotides) under Equus caballus (horse). RNAcentral's name for it is "lncRNA (ENSECAG00000050738.1)". Lineage: Eukaryota; Metazoa; Chordata; Mammalia; Perissodactyla; Equidae. The record is from RNAcentral.
GAGGGGCCUGCGGGCCGGGUCCCAUCAGCCCAGCAGAAGAUGCUGUUUCGAACGGGACCGCUCCUACCCAAUCGAGAUAGAAAGCUACAUACUAUUAUUCAUUAUCCAACUCCAUUGUCCAUUUUCGUAUUCACUCUUUUUUCCCCCCAGGAAACCUUUACUUUCUGCUUAAAGAGGAAUCACAAAUGGGCUGAGAGUGGAAGCGCUCACUUUCACGACAGAAUUCAGGAAAUAGGAACCAUGCUACCUAGUGAUCUUGCCUGUUCAACCUGUUCUUGCUUUUAUAAGUGACCCUGUAAUCUGUUACCUUUUUCUCUCAUUCCUCACGUUAGCACACUGGAAUAAGCAUAAUUUGUUUUUCGUUUCUUAUCAGUUUUCAAAAAAAUAGCACACCUUUCAAACUCUUAAAAUAUUUAUAAGCAUAAGGCUUCCUUGUUCAAUGGAGGGAAAUAAGAACACAGAUAGACACUAAUUCUGUAACACUGCUGAACUUAGCGAUUGGUGAGCCUGUGUGGUGUGCAAUCACUGUGCCAUGCUGGACAGGAAGCACGCUUUCCCUGUGAGCUGCAAUAAGCAUGAGGUAAAUGUGCUGAAGAUUCAUUAUGAUUUCACAAUGAUUUUUCACCUAGAAAAAUAAAAGAAAAAACAAAGCUUUGUUUUAAAAAAAGAAAUAUAGAUAGAGAAAAAGAAAUAGAAUCACAUGUAACCUCACUUUUAAAAUAACCACUAUGAAUACGUUGUAAAUAAAUUUCUUGUUCUUUCCAACAUGUACGUAUACGGAGAAGCAUUAAACUAUACAAGCUCAUCUCCAAACUGCUUUUGUCUCUUAGCAAUCUAAUGUUUUUAAGUGUGAUUGUAAAAUCGCAAAACAAAUUUAUAAAUGUUAAUUUUGAGUUCUCAAAAAUUUCCCAAGUAGUUGUGAGAGUUUCUAAAAAUAAUCUUCUUGGCCAUAUUUCUCUCCCCAAAGUACCAAGCUCUUUUCUACUUUACUGCUUCUCUUAUUGAGAUCAAGAACAGAAGUGUGACCGUGUCCUCCCCUCCCCCUUCCCCGUGGCAGCAUCUUUGCCACUGCUUGUGGCAUCUAACGUGUGGGAGAAAGCACGUGAUGCUUGAUGCCUGAGAUACAGGUGUUUGCACCGAGUGUGCCAUGCCCUGCCUUUAUGAACAUAAUUGAAACUAAUGGAGAUGUUGAGUUUUGUUCUCAAUGAGCCUGGUAUUUUGUUCUUUACUCUAUUUUUUGUCAAAGCUCCCCUUGCCCUAGUGCUCGUGCGUUCAUCUGUUCAUUCAACAAGUACAUGGUCCCAGAAAUACAGAGAUGGUAGAAAGCAAUACAGACAUGACCCCUGGGCUCACGGAGCCUCUGUCAAGUAGAGGAAACAGGCCUUCGGUUGCACACACCCCUACGAAUGCAUAAUUUUCCUAGGAAGGAGACUACAGGUGCUGUGCAGGAGAACAGCAGAGGGAGCACAGUCGAUGCUGCGGACUCAAGGAGGCUGCCCUCAGAUGGUGAGUCAGUGGGUGCUGGAGAAGCAUAACCUGGACCUCCAGCACCAGCUGGUCCCACAAUCAUUUUCCCCUGAUGCUCUGGCCCAUCUUCCUAGAAGUCACCUUCUAAACCCAGCCUCUCUUCUUAGAAUAAGCUCUUCCUCCAAGACUCCUCCGUCCUUUGAUAAAAGAAUUCUGUUGGGCUGUCCCUCAGAACUCUACAUAUCUAGAAUCCUGCAAUAAACUCAGUUUAUAAACACAGUUUCAAAUCUAUCCAUUUUCAUACCUUCCCAUACAAUGAUGGUUAGAAAGAGCUUCUCAGUAAAGACAAGCUAAUAUCCAGUCUAGAUGAUUUUUGUAAUGGAAGCAACUACUUCAUGAACUAUCUAUUAGAGUGCUAACACUACUCAGUGGUACUCUGUGGUACAAGGAUCGUACAAUGGCUUUCAUAACUGUAGAAGAAUAAUGGAUUGGAAGAAAAGAGAAGUUCUCUUAUUUUUCCUCAAACACGUUUGCUUUUGUCCUGUGAAUAACAGAGAAUUUUCACAGGAGGGCUAGAGGAAGACUGACAGAGAAGGAGGGAUCGAGGGGGGGAGAGGGACCGAGAGAGAGAACGAAACGGUUAUGGUAUUUUAAUUACUACGGUUGUUUGUGCUCUCCAGUUUUCCCUGACUUAAUGAAUGAGAUACAGUUGUACUCCAGUACCUUUCAUUUAUAGAGUUAGGCAAAUGUCUCUUGCUCCAUCUUUUUGAACAAUUUCAUUUUUCUUUAAUGACAUUUCUCUGUACUCUCCUUCUCUAUGCACAGACUGGGUGACAGGGGCUUUUAAUAGGUAAUGAUUGUUUCAUAAUAGAAUCUGAUGAUAACCUUGGCCUCAUAAAGUCUUGCACAUGCGUUGGAGCCAUUUAUGAAAAUAUAUGAAUCAAUGACAGAGCUGCUGUGUUUUAGGUGAACGGCAGCUAGAAGCACAGCCUUUUAAAACAGCUCGUGGGCUUCUGAGCAUGACUUCCGCGUGGGAACGAGAAGACAGACGCGCACAGCUGAGUGAGUUGUCAAUGGGAAUGUUGUGAAUUAAAGCAGAGCUCAAGGGGGUCACAAAAAUUAGAGGCCAUUGGGGCCGGCCCUGUGGCUGAGUGCUUAAGCUUGUGCGCUCUGCUUCGGUGGCCCAGGGUUUCGCAGGUUCAGAUCCCGGGUGUGGAUCUAGCGUUGCUCAUCAAGCCAUGCUGAGGAGGCGUCUCACCUGCCACAACUAGAAGGACCCACAGCUAAAAAUAUACAACUAGGUACCAGGGGACUUGGGGAAGAAGAAGGAAAAAGAAAAUCUUUAAAAAAAAAUUAGAGACUAUUUCUCUCCUCAUUAUUAAAUCUGAGGUUGUCUUUACCUCAACACUUUAAAAUCUUAAAUGAUGAAUUUAUCCACAAAAAAAAAAUCUUAUAAAAAUAUUUUGUCUCAAACUGCUUAGGUUAUUAACUCCCUAUUUUCAAGAGACGUUCCUUUAUGUUGCCAGAAAAGUCAGCUUGUUGUAUCACGGAAUUCUGUUCCGUUAAAUUUUUUCAUUUGUUUUCCCGGACUCCAUCCUGCAGUGGUGAGUGAAGCGAGAAAUCAGAAAAAAGAGGGCAGGAAAGCAGAUGUAAAUGCACAUGCCGACCUUGAAGGCGCCGCCUCAGCUCUAGACGCAGCUGGACGCAGAUGCAGCUGGACCGAGUUGCUAUCAGGGCUCAGACCCCUCCGCUGGGCGGCGGGUCGGAGUCCUCGUGCUUCAGGAACACUCCCACCUCCUUGCUCUAGUAUCUCGUUCCUCUCCUUGUUACCCAGGAAGUCUAACUGCCUAUAUUUAAGGCAACAAUUCUGUGGCCCUCAGUCUUUCAGCAAUAAGAAACAAGAGUGAGACUUGUGUGAUGAUAUGAUUAUCCCAGGCUAUGUAAAACCUUGUUUAUAAAACUAUUCACGGCUUAAGGAAAAUUUUCCUUGUCAUAAAAAAAAUUCCUCUGAUUGUUCAAUCAGUUGGUAUUUUAGAAACCUGGAACCUCCUUAUGAAGUGCAGUAUGGCUAAAAGGGCUUAAAACUUACCAUUUAUUGAUACAAUUGCAAGUGAAUUUCAUCAGAAAUCAUAAUAGCGAUACCAUGUAUUAAUCAUUCAUUCUCUACUACAUACUGUGCCCAGUGCCCUCUAUGUGACCUUAAUUAAUACUUAUAAUAAUAUUUUGAGUAAAGGAGUUAUUCUCAUAUCACAGAUGGAGAAGCUGAGGUUUAGAAAGUAGCAAUAUGUUCUAUGUGGCUAGAAAGUGCUGGAGCCAGAAUGCAAACCCAGAAUGUGGGCCCUAAUCUCUGACUUCAACUCACAUUAAAUGACACAUUUUGGGAAAUCUUUUGAUUGUCUCCAAGAGAAAGAUGUUUUUGAAGUAAGAAUAUUCUACAAUUUUCUUUCUGAAGCAUUAAGGGAAAGUAUUUAUGCUCAUUGAUUUUCUGCCCAAUGUGCAGACAUUAAAAAGAUAAGCACAAUGUGAAGUUUAUGUUGUGCCAGUUUUUUAGCAGUCAGCUAUUACAGGAUUCCCAAACUGGAAAAAAUAAACUGGCUUGGGAUGAGUAAGAAUCCAGGUCACUUUUGAAAUAUCUCAGUGGUUUUUUAGCUAUUUUUAAGUUAAGAUAUUUUGUUCUGAUGUAGUGAUGUAAGUAGAACAUAGUCCAUGGUCACAGAGCUUAAAAAUUCUCACAAUGCGCCCAGAAAAAGUUCAUUAUUCCUCCCAUCUUGUGUACUAAAGGAUAGACAUAUUGCAAUACGUCGGUACGGAUUAUAACAUAACAGCGACCCUUUACCGAGCGCCUCCCGCACGCCAGCUUUCACUGAACUCUCCCAGCGACUCCGGGAGGCAGACACCCGCGCGUCCCGGGAGACGCGACCGGGGGCUCCGCGCUUCCCCGCGCACCAAGUGAUGGAAGCCGGGCCUGCCUGGAGCCCGGCGCUCUGCGCCGUCUCCUUCUGUGCUGUGUUUCCGUGUUAAACAUACUGUAUGUUGCCAUUAUGUUUAAACAUUUAUUUUCUGGAGUUGUUUUCCACGGCGACCAAAAUAGAUCACCUUAGCUUAAGUUUCUUUAAUUAUCCAAUCGGUUCGGUAGCAUUUUUGGUUUUUCUUUCUUUCAGCACAGAAUAAUCGUGAUGUUAUAUUUUUUUUCAGUUCAACCUUUCAUUUACUCAGUAAACAAUCAUUCGGCAAAUGCUAGUACUAUCUGUAAACCCCUUUUGCUGGGCGUUUAGGGGAGUUACAAAGACUCUGUUAGUGCCUUCAAGCACCUAAGGGAACUUGAAGCAGGGUCGUUGUAUCCGAGUAAGGCUCACUUGAGUAACACGGACAACUGACUGCAGUGCAGGAUAAAGUAUUACCAUAAAAUAGUUGAGAAUUAGGCACUGUAGGAGUUGAAAGAAGGGAUUCAUUUUUAUCGGGAUAGAGGGCAGGAAAGAUUCAUAAAGGAAAUGGAACUGGGAUGGAAUUAAGGCGGCCUAAAGGGUGACUAUUUGCUCUCAGAGAUAUUACAUUCAGAAGGGACCUUCGAUACAUUGUACCUGAUUCUCUCAUCCUAAAGGAGAGAGCACUGAGAACCAGAAGGUUAAUUGAUUUCCCAAGGUCACACUCUCCCAUCUGUAAACCCCACUUCAAUUCCAAACGCGAAUGCUUUCUUAGUACUUUUUUCAAAUAGUUUUCACAGAUUGUCCUGAAUUCAGUAUUGGUUACCUUGCUCACAUCUUAGAUACUCUCAAGAAGCAAAUAAAAUAAAACAGACCUUUAGUAAUUAGCAAAAAUCAUUAAUAAAAAGUAAUGCUGACUAGGCAAAUCUGAGGUAGAGUCUCAGAUUUAGUGCCAAGUCAGGCUUGGGAGGGAAGAGGAAGUAGCAGAUGGAGUGUCAUGCUAGAAGUGACAGCAGGUGGGAACAGGUAAUAGCAGACAGAUGGGCCCCGUAUUGUGGGAAGACCACCAGCAUCACAUUUUCCACUGCUUUGUCCCCACAUAGUAAUAAGAUUCACUAUAGUUCAUUGGAAAAAUCUUAAUAAGCACAAACUCUCACAAAGGUAUAAUGCUGGGUAUCAUAAAGGGAAAGUGUAAAAAUAAGUCUGUUUCUGUUCUCACACUUUCUACUAAAGCUCAAGAAAUGUAGGAAAUGUAAAACAAGUACAAAAAGAGAGCAAUGUAACACAAAAGAGGGCAAGUAAAUGCUAACAGAGAAAUACAGAUAAAGCACUUGUGGAGUGGUGGCACUCAAGAUGAGUCUAGUCCACAGGGGUGAAGGGGCUGGAAAAGCAAGAGGAAGUGCUCCAGAGAAAGGGAAGCUCAGAGGCAGGCACAUGCCGGCGAGGAUUUGCUUACUUCCAAACGGCACAAUACGGGUAUAGACAGGCAGAUAUGUGUCAUGGGGAGCUAGCUAAUAAGGUGGUAAAGUCCCCCAACCAUCACUUUGUGGCUGGGAACAAGUCACAAACCUCUCACAACUUCCAUUUCUUCAUUUCUAAAAUGAGCUCGGUUCCACAAUUCCUUUUAGGUUGCAGAGUUAGUAGUCUCUAAUCAAGAAUCUUCUUAAAUGUGUUAAACUGAUAUUUCCCAAAGUAUGGGACAUAUUUGCUACCAGUGGAAUGCAAAUUUUAAGUGAUAUAUAUGUAAUAUUUAUGUUAAUAAUUACAUAAUCUUCAUAGAGUGUCCUAUUUAAAGCAUGUGAUACUGAUUUGCAUUUUUUGUAGUGUUAGAAGUUUACCUUUAAAAUUUUUAAAUGAAAAAUGUGUACCAAGUUGUAGAAAAAACUUGAGUAUUUCCAUUAUGUGUUACAUUUCAAUUCAUACAAGUUUUGCAGUUCACACCAUAAUGCAGCUAUGCUUGCUUUACUGUAAAAUCCAUUCCUGGACUCCUUCAUUCAUUGAACAAGUAUUUGUAGAGUGACAACUGCAUGGCCUACUCUAGUCCAGUGGUGAUAAUUUGGUAAACAAAACAAACAAAAAUCUUUGCCCUUGUAGAACUGACAUUCUUGAGAGGUGAUGUUACCAGACCAAAUGUGGGCCCCUUCUUGAGGGUUAAAUCAAACUGGACUGAGGCAGUUGUCUCACAAAGCAGAAAUUUUAUUUGCAGCAUGCAGCAAAGAAAAUGGAGACCACAGGGAAUAAUUCACAAAGCUAUAGCUCCGCAAGCAUGGGAGGUGGGUACCUUUAUUUAGGGUAGGAAUGAAUAUUCAGAGGGGAAGUUUCAUCAUCACAUGUAGAGGUGGGCAUAAGCUUACACAUGCAUAGUUUGAAAUCGUGCUUUUACAUAUAUCGCAUGAUCUAAAAAUGGCUGCUCCGCCCCUCCCACAGGAGGGGAAUUUACGAGGUUAAUAAGGGCAGGUUACUUUGGUACAACUCUGAGCCCAUCCGUGCAGGUGCCAGUCUUGUGGUUGUGGUCCAGGCCAUCCUGGGCCGGUUCAGUGCAGCUGGUUUCAUGGCGGUUGUCACUUAGAGCUUCUUCCCGGAACACAGCUGAAAACCGCAUAAGCGCAAGCCCCCAAGGUAUUAGAUAAAGGAACACUUUCACCUUGCAAGAAGACAGAAGAAUUAGGUCAAACAUAAAAGCUGGAUUUUUUUUUUCCUUCUUCUCCCCAAAGCCCCCCAGUACAUAGUUGUAUAUUCUAGUUGUAGGGCCUUCUAGUUGUGGCCUGUGGGAGGCCCCCCCAGCAUGGCUUGAUGAGCGGUGCCAUGUCCUCACCCAGGAUCCCAACAGACAAAACCCUGGGCCACCAAAGUAGAACUCGCGAACUUAAUCCCUUGGCCAUGGGGCCCGCCCCAGAAAAGUGAGUUUUAAACAGGGCAAGAGAAGCAGGUUAGGGUCCAUGUCUGGCAACUGUGAGACUGACAAUAACAAUAAACAUGGUAAAUAAGUAAAUUACAUACAGUGUUAGUAGAUGUUAAGUACUAGAGAGAAAGAAUAGAUCAAGAUAAGACAGAUUGGGAAAGCCAAGAGUGUAUGUUAAAUGAUGGCCAGCACCAUUGGAAAGGUAACAUUUUAUCAAAAAUUGUCAAAGGUCAGGAGUGAGCCCUGACAAUGUCUAGGGGGAGGAAUAAUGUGCUUUACUUCUCACUGAGUAAAAUUAAUGUUCCAAGAAAGUGUGUCCUAACUCUCCUCAGGAUUCCUGCAGCCUGGACUUACACACAUCAUGGUGACAACACCAAUACCAGGGAAGGCAGAAACGAGAGAAUCUUUUUUGGGGGAAAAGGAGAGGACAGAGGAGGUGUGUUUUACGUGGAACAUAGUUUUAAAUACUAGAGAGACAUCCCAUGGAGAAACCCAAGUCGUUGGAAAUGUGGGUCUAAAACUUGGAGGUGAAUUUGGGUUUGAAGAAGUAGAUUUUGGAGUCAUUUCUGUAACUAUAAUAUUUAACACAGUGCCAUUGCCUAGAGAAAAGAGGUAAACAGAGCCUAGAAAAGGCCUUCUGUAAGGGACUGGCGGUGGGUAAAGGGGACUGAGACAACCAACUUGUAUUGAGGGCUCUGGCCCCAAGAUGGCAAGGCAGUUUGCAUACAUUAUAUGUUGACUGCAAAGGAGGUAAGCAUUGAAUAAGGAAUAAACAUUUGUCUUUCAAGAAGUUUUCCAGAAGAGGCAACACAGCAUAGUGGUGGUUAAAGGUGUGGUCUCUAAAGUAAGAGAGACCUGAGUUUGAAUACCCAUAGUGUGGCUUUAGGCAACUUACUUAGCUCUUUGACUCUUUCGGAGCCUGAGGCCAUGAUGUCCACAUCCUACACUGCAGGGUUGUUCUGAGGCUUCAGUGAGAAACUGUGUGUAAAGGGGCGGGCUCCAUAGUCAGCUCUCAGUAAGUGUUGGCUGUUGUUUCGGUAAAAUAAAGAGAUAACGUGGUAGCUUAAAAUAAUAACAAAUGAACAGAUUUUAUGGCUGUUAUUUAAAAAUAAGGGAAAUUUGAGCAUUUUUAUAGGGGAUUAUUUGCAAUGGGAGGAUAAACUUCAGCUAAAUAAGAUCUUUCAAGAUUAAACAAGUUUUUCUCGUUUUUGCAAUUAUUAUGCAAUUUGAAUAAGAUCAACUAUAGUUUGGUCUUUUAGUUCAGUGGUUCUUAUUCCCUCUUUAAAAAAGUUAGAAAUCCCCUUAAUGUAAACAAUGGCUGUUCUCUGCAAAAAAAAAAAAAAAAUGCAUAUAAACAUGCUAAAGAAUGCAUCCAGGGGCUGGCCCCGGGGCUGAGUGGUUAAGUUCGCGCGCUCCGCUGCAGGCGGCCCAGUGUUUUGUUGGUUCAAAUCCUGGGCGCGGACAUGGCACUGCUCGGCAAGCCACGCUGAGGCAGCGUCCCACAUGCCACAACUAGAAGGACCCACAAUGAAGAAUAUGCAACUAUGUAGCGGGGGGCUUUGGGGAGAAAAAGGGAAAAAAUAAAAUCUUUAAAAAGAAUGCAUCCAAAAUUUGGAAAUAAAGCAAAAGGACAAGUGGGCCAUUUCAAAGUUUUCUAGAACAGCAUCUAACAAGCCUGACUUUGGGGAUACAGCUUUGUCUGACUUACUAUUUACUAUUGAUUAGGGCCUAAAAGCUAUAAAGUUACAUCUUAACUUGCAGAAAAUUGAUAAAAUGGAAGUGAUUUUUGUCCAGUUGAGAUGCAAAUGAUUUCUCUCCAAAAGAGAAGAUAAUCUGAAAGGUUAUGCUCUGAUUGGCGUGCAGUACACUCACCAGCUUUGAAUCUAAUUUACCAAUCAUAUUCCAGCAUUCUUUCUUUUACUGACAUGAGUCUCUUAUAUCUUUCUUUGAACUGCUUUUGCCACCUUGCCGGUUCCCUCAUUAAUAAGGUAAGUAAAUUUUUCAUGCUCACUAUGUACUUGCGUGAGAGUUACAUUUCUGGCUUUUUAAAAUUAUGCUUUGGCAUAAUGUAUCAGUUAGUGCUUAAGCAAAACCAUGUGUAUAUUUAUUAUAUAUGUCUAUAUUAUAUUAAUAUAUAGUUAUUAAGAUAUAGUUUAUCACAGGGAUUUGACCUUAUCGCACUGUGGGAGCUGGUUAAGUGGUCUAAGUAAGAAUGUGAAGCUGUUUCUGUGUCUCCUGCUGGCACCUGAAGUCCACAGGCAGUUGGGAAAAGAAGAUGGAUGUGAAGGAGAGCAAGCAAAGACAAGCUGGAUGAAGGAGAAGCUGGUGUCUUCCAUCACGGAGCUGAAUACGCAUCUGGUCCAGGACUCAGGGAAGCUGAUCCAGCAGGAGGAUCUGGCAGGGGCCCAGCUGCUGCCCCAAGCCAACAAGUCCCGGGAGAUGCUCAGCGGAUACAAUCUUUCUACAGAGCGAAGUCUGAAUGGGGGCCGGAGGGAGAACGAGGAUGGACAGGACGUCCCAGAAAGCCAUCGGCGCCAGGGCCAUGCCUCGCACCUGACCUGCACAGCAGGUGGCCCAGAGCUCAAGUCAAGCAGCGGCCAGUCCCGAGUCCCGCCCUCUGAGAGGGCGCAGGCCCGGACAACGCUGGCUCAAAUACGUGAUAAACAUCGCUCGUCGACUAUACACUCAACAACCAAAAUAAGUCUCUGUAUGGACUGAAAUAGAAAUGCAAGUAUAUUGAGUGCUGAAAAUAAAGCAAGAUGUUUCUGUUGGAGUGGAUCAAUGGAAGGAAGAACUCUCCUUUAAAAGAUCUCUUGAACAUAGAUGGAGGAAUGAUGAGUCGUGUUUAAUUAUUUAAGUAUGGAAUUCACCCAAAGGGCACUUGAUGCUUCUGGUCUAUUGGGAGAUACUGGAUGUGAAAGACAGCAAAAUCCCGGAUCAACUUGACUUUAUAUCUGAGCCAAAAGUCAUUCAGAGUGAGGAACUGGAAAGGCCAGAUGAAGAAAAGUGUGUGGAAAGUAAACAAUGCAGUGAUCGGAGGCGUGUGUGCACUUUCCUUGGACUUUAGAUGGAAGAGGGUCAACAUGCCCUUUGUUUCCGUCUGUGUGAUUGACUCGCUCUGCGCCAUGCUUGCUAACUGAGACCUUCCUUCAGCUCUUCAGCUGAGCUGUGAGUGGCUUUGAGGGUUGGGAGGUCUCCCACUGAGGGGUCAGGGGUCGGGUCCUGUAUACUUUUUGAAGAGCAGGGGCAUUUGAGCAAAACAAAACUGGAGUUAAUCCCUGCUUUCCUAUUAGAAAAGUUGUGUUCUUUCUCUAUGCCUGUUUCCCCAUUUGUUAAAAAGUGAUAAUGGUAAUACAACUUAGUGAGGCUGUUGUGAAGAAUAAAUAAGAAAUUUGACAUAAAGAGCAAGCUGACAUUUACUAAGUUCUCAAUAAAUGUUGAUAAAUAUCUAAUUGAUCCACUACAACUCACAUAGGCUAGGAGUUUUUGUCUUUGCCUAAACAUUCUCGUGGCUUUUAUGCAAGCUUUUCUUUGUCCUGGUCUCCAAGUGGCAUGCUAACGGCAACUUUUACUGGCUCGCAAGAGCCGAUUAUUAAAUUUUUAGGAAUUUUGAGCUCUGGUUGUUAAAUACUGCCAAUAUUUAAAAAUAGAUGAAAAGAAACAUAUAAUUAAAUAAUUAUAUUUAAAACAAAGUUGAUAAAUACUCAAAACUCAUCACUUCCUAAUUAGUUCACUGGAUUUUACUAUUAUCUAUACUCUUGAGGUUAUGUCUAUUUUUAUCUGUGUGGUGAAAACAUGUGCCUCGCUUCCAAACUUGUGUUCAGUGACAUCCCUCUUGUGGCUUGAAAAGAGCCAAGUGGCUUGAAAACAGACAUCCCUCUAAGUGGCUUCUGUAGACCAUUGCUCCACAGAAAUACGCGAAUACUAAAUUCAAGACUUUUCCCAAAGAGCCAAUUAUUAAACACUUAUCAUAAUUUCGUGUUUAUUAAUUCUACACAUGGAAAAAUCGGAUUAAUUUUAUGUGAGAAUGUACAAAAAUUUAUUCUGAUAAGCUUUUUAUGCUGUGCAGGAGCCAACUCUAAAUGAGUCAAAUAAACUACAUAUUCUAGUGUAAUUCCUUCAUGAAUUAAAAAAGUGCAAACAACAAAAUUUCCAUUUUUAGUGAAAAUGAAAUUUCUGUAAAACAUGCCACUUAAUAAACUUCUAAAUGAAUGUGCAUUCAUCAAACAUUUUGAUUUUAACUGGCUAUUUUUGAAGUAUCUGAAAGUUUACCUAUUCUUGAUUUGGGGAAAUUGCUGAAAAUCAUAAAAUUAUUAUUUGUCUCCAAGUAUGUAGAGAUAUAGUUUUAAAUAAAAAUAUUAAUAUGUAACUGUGCAUCAAUGCUGCUUUGUUUUUAAAAUAAAAAGUCAUUCAACCCGGUGCCUGGCACAGAUUGGAAAUGAAGUGAAAUAGAGGAAAGAGCAUGAGAUUUACAUCUGGAAGAUUUGGGUUCAAGUCCUGCUCAUCGUUUGUGUGCUGUGACCUCCAGGCAGCAGUCAGUUAACUAUCGAGACGCUGUCUAGAAUGCUGGGCCUGGAGAACGCGUUCAGACUACAGACUGCCCAUCAGCCAGGUUCCUUUUCGGCAAGGACACAUCACUUGUCCUAUCAGCAUCAUGGGAGAUUACAAGGAGGUGACCAUGGACAGACAUUUCAAGACGAGUCCCUCUGGCCUUAGACCUAUAGUUUGUGAAAUGAGUCAUUUUGCUUCUCCUUUUCUCUGUCCUUCUGAC